GAAUCCCCACGAUUCCUGCCCCGGCCAACCGCCCCCCACGUUUUGCAAUGGUCUCGCAUACGUCUACUACUAUCUUCCUUGACUCCAGUUUGGAAUUCACCUGAUGGAUAUGCACAUAUCAGCCGGGAAAUUAGUAAGCUGUAAAUGGAGUUCUACCCCAGCCACGUCGUAGAGGAUUGAUCCAACGACUUCAAGAUCUUUAGACGAGUCCUGUUGCAUGGUGCAUAUGUCUGGUGUCCUACAAGGUAUAGUUUGAGAAACAUAUUCAAGGGAAAUUCUUCUCAUAAGGUUAUAGUUCUAAAUCCGGUUUCUCAACGACACAUUAAUGCUUUGUGGCAUACAAAUCUCAAACUAAAUGAAGAUGAUUUGGUAAUGAAAUUUGUAGAAAUGUUGAAAAAUACUCAUCAUAACAAUAUAACAAUGUAACCUUUUUAUUUUCCUUUUUAGUAUACUACUAUAAUGUACCUGAGAGAAAA
This is a long non-coding RNA of Salvia splendens (bonfire salvia), 476 nucleotides long. RefSeq lists it as uncharacterized. The record is from RefSeq and is a predicted model, not a curated record. The transcript is spliced from 2 exons. Lineage: Eukaryota; Viridiplantae; Streptophyta; Magnoliopsida; Lamiales; Lamiaceae.